RNAcentral lists this transfer RNA (85 nucleotides) under Clostridium aestuarii. Its description in RNAcentral is "tRNA-Leu". It matches the Rfam family "tRNA". Rfam says of the family: Transfer RNA (tRNA) molecules are approximately 80 nucleotides in length. Their secondary structure includes four short double-helical elements and three loops (D, anti-codon, and T loops). The record is from RNAcentral. Lineage: Bacteria; Bacillati; Bacillota; Clostridia; Eubacteriales; Clostridiaceae.
GCAGGAGUGGCGGAAUCGGCAGACGCGCACGUUUAAGGGGCGUGUACCGUGAGGUGUACGGGUUCAAGUCCCGUUUCCUGCACCA